This 75-nucleotide transfer RNA is filed under the name Bacteroidales bacterium. Its description in RNAcentral is "tRNA-Val". It matches the Rfam family "tRNA". Rfam says of the family: Transfer RNA (tRNA) molecules are approximately 80 nucleotides in length. Their secondary structure includes four short double-helical elements and three loops (D, anti-codon, and T loops). The record is from RNAcentral. RNAcentral also lists the same sequence under 2 other names. Lineage: Bacteria; Pseudomonadati; Bacteroidota; Bacteroidia; Bacteroidales.
GGGAUAUUAACUCAGUUGGUUUAGAGUGUUACCUUGACAGGGUAGAAGUCACUGGUUCGAAUCCAGUAUAUCCCA